RNAcentral lists this long non-coding RNA (1206 nucleotides) under Sus scrofa (pig). RNAcentral's name for it is "lncRNA (ENSSSCG00005012467.1)". Lineage: Eukaryota; Metazoa; Chordata; Mammalia; Artiodactyla; Suidae. The record is from RNAcentral.
UAUGCCACAGCCACAGCCACCACUGGAUCGGAGCAGCUCACCACCACUCACUUGGGGCAACACCAGAUCCUUAACCCUCUGAGUGAGGCCAGGGAUCAAACCCACAUCCCCAUGAAUACUGAGGUUCGCUUCCACUGAGCCACAACAGGCACUCCUAGGAGAACAGUUUUGUCAAUGGCCCUGUUAGCCAACUCUUGGUCAGUUCACCGUCAGGAGUGACGGUGACAUCUGGAAUUGGGGCUUUUUUUUUUUUUUUUUUUACCUCUUGGUCUCAUGAACCAGCCAGAGUUCUUCAUUUCCGAGCUGGGCGUGUGCCCACCAUCAUCUGCUCCUUCGGACUCCUCCAUGUAAUCCUAGGGGACAGGCUUGUCAAGGUCCACUUGACUGAAAAAUAAAAAGAAUACUUGGGCUAGAAAAGGAGCGGUUUGAGGGAAGGCCUGUGGAAGGGUCUUUAGUGAGCAGGAAGGUGUGCGCAUGCGCACAUGCCGCCAGGCUUUGGGCGGCGUGGGAGCCAGGGGUCCCGCCAAGGGCCACAGAAAGAGGCCCAGGGAGCCAGCGAGCGAGAGAGGCUGAUGGUGGGGCCUGUAGGUGGAAUCCUGGUCUCCAAGGCAACAAGCACGACGGGGAAGCUCAGCUUUUGUUACCUCCUGGCAAGGGAUCACGGACAUUUCUUGUGUGCGUUGAAAUGUCAGGAGAUAUUAAGAAAUGGAGACAUGGAGUUCCCAUUGUGGCACAGUGAAAAUGACUCCCGUUAGUAUCCUCGAGGAUGCGGGUUCGAUCCCUGGUCUCACUCAGUGGGUCGGGGAUCAGUGUUGCCAUGAGCUGUUGUAUAGGUUGCAAACUCAGCUCAGAUCAUGUGUUGCUGUGGCCUAGGCCACCAGCUGCAGCUCCGAUUUGACCCCUAGCCUGGGAACUUCCAUAUGCCACAGGUGCAGCCCUAAAAAGCAAAAAAAGAAAGAAGGAAACGUAGACAUGAACUGGCACUCAAGGCUUCUUUCCUGAUUCUUGGCGCUGUAACUACUGCCUCCUCUGCUUUUGCCUGUCCUCUACCCUCUCCCAAAGAUGACCUUCGUGGUGGUGACCCCAAGUGUGGAGGAAGCCCAGACAUCCCUUCACCUGUAAGCCCUGGUUUUCUCCUCUGCGUGGAGAUGCCGAUGUCAUCUCCCUCCCUUGCAGGCAAUGAGGAUUGAGCAGAGUCAGUGUGGG